UACGUAGGGAGCGAGCGUUGUCCGGAUUUACUGGGUGUAAAGGGUGCGUAGGCUGCUAUGCAAGUCAGUAGUGAAAUCCAUGGGCUUAACCCAUGAACUGCUAUUGAAACUGCACAGCUUGAGUGAAGUAGAGGUAGGCGGAAUUCCCGGUGUAGCGGUGAAAUGCGUAGAGAUCGGGAGGAACACCAGUGGCGAAGGCGGCCUACUGGGCUUUAACUGACGCUGAGGCACGAAAGCGUGGGUAGCAAACAGG
This 253-nucleotide ribosomal RNA is filed under the name uncultured bacterium. RNAcentral's name for it is "partial 16S ribosomal RNA". It matches the Rfam family "Bacterial small subunit ribosomal RNA", at positions 524 to 776 of the family's 1533-position model. The record is from RNAcentral.